GGACCCGCACAAGUAGUGGAGCAUGUGGUUUAAUUCGAAGAUACGCGCAGAACCUUACCAACACUUGACAUGUUCGUCGCGACUCUAAGAGAUUAGAGUUUUCGGUUCGGCCGGACGAAACACAGGUGCUGCAUGGCUGUCGUCAGCUCGUGUCGUGAGAUGUUGGGUUAAGUCCCGCAACGAGCGCAACCUCACUUUAGUUGCCAUCAUUAAGUUGGGCACUCUGAAAGAACUGCCAGUGAUAAGCUGGAGGAAGGUGGGGAUGACGUCAAGUCCUCAUGGCCUUACGGCCUGGGCUACACACGUGCUACAAUGGCUAGGACAGACGGCCGCAAACCCGCGAGGGGGAGCCAA
This 354-nucleotide ribosomal RNA is filed under the name uncultured bacterium. RNAcentral's name for it is "bacterial SSU rRNA". It matches the Rfam family "Bacterial small subunit ribosomal RNA", at positions 917 to 1271 of the family's 1533-position model. The record is from RNAcentral.